UGCCAGCCGCCGCGGUAAUACGGAGGGUGCAAGCGUUAUCCGGAUUUAUUGGGUUUAAAGGGUUCGUAGGCGGGAAAUUAAGUCAGUGGUGAAAGCCUGUGGCUCAACCAUAGAAUUGCCAUUGAUACUGAUUUUCUUGAGUACAUAUGAAGUGGGCGGAAUGUGUCAUGUAGCGGUGAAAUGCAUAGAUAUGACACAGAACACCGAUUGCGAAGGCAGCUCACUAAAUUGUUACUGACGCUGAGGAACGAAAGCGUGGGGAGCGAACAGGAUUAGAUA
This 279-nucleotide ribosomal RNA is filed under the name uncultured bacterium. RNAcentral describes it as "partial 16S ribosomal RNA". It matches the Rfam family "Bacterial small subunit ribosomal RNA", at positions 506 to 784 of the family's 1533-position model. The record is from RNAcentral.